GUACACGCUGUGACUAGCAUAUCAAUAAGCGGAGGAAAAGAAACUAACAAGGAUUCCCCUAGUAACGGCGAGUGAAGCGGGAAGAGCUCAAAUUUGAAAUCUUAAAGGGUUUCCCUUUACGAAUUGUAGUUUAAAGAAGUGUUUUCUGUUGAGGUUUUGGUAAAAGUUCUUUGGAAUAGGACAUCAUAGAGGGUGAGAAUCCCGUAUUUGACCUUUACUUUCAACUUCGUGAUACACUUUCAAAGAGUCGGAUUGUUUGGGAAUGCAGUCCAAAAUGGGUGGUAAAUUUCAUCUAAAGCUAAAUAUUGGCGAGAGACCGAUAGCGAACAAGUACCGUGAGGGAAAGAUGAAAAGAACUUUGAAAAGAGAGUUAAACAGUACGUGAAAUUGUCAAAAGGGAAGCGUUUGACACCAGUGUUGUUUUUCUGAAAAUCAAUUAAAGAACUGUUUAUGCUAAGCUGUUUAGACUUUAUCAGCUAUACUGUUUAGUUUUGAGCUUUUCUUUAAUGCACUUUUCAGUUAACAAGUCAACAUCAAUUUCUUUUGCUGUAAAAAAGCUUGAGGAAGGUGGCUUGAGAUUCGUCUUAAGUGUUUAUAGCCUCUUGCCUAUGCAGUCGGAGAGAUUGAGGUCUGCAGCGUAGAUCCUUCGGGGCUAAAUGCAUUUGUGCUAAGUUAUAGCAUUUUAUAGACAACUUGUUGACUACUGAUUUGUCUUGUAGCUUACUCGCUUAUGUUAUUUUACCUACGCUUAGGAUGUUGACGCGCGUGUGUGCGUG
Molecule: ribosomal RNA, 776 nt
Filed under: uncultured Neocallimastigales
Lineage: Eukaryota; Fungi; Neocallimastigomycota; Neocallimastigomycetes; Neocallimastigales
Description: partial large subunit ribosomal RNA
Rfam family: Eukaryotic large subunit ribosomal RNA
Source: RNAcentral